This 287-nucleotide ribosomal RNA is filed under the name uncultured Methylobacterium sp. RNAcentral describes it as "partial 16S ribosomal RNA". It matches the Rfam family "Bacterial small subunit ribosomal RNA", at positions 1093 to 1382 of the family's 1533-position model. Lineage: Bacteria; Pseudomonadati; Pseudomonadota; Alphaproteobacteria; Hyphomicrobiales; Methylobacteriaceae. The record is from RNAcentral.
CGAGCGCACCCUUGUCCUUAGUUGCCAUCAUUCAGUUGGGCACUCUAGGGAGACUGCCGGUGAUAAACCGCGAGGAAGGGGGGGAUGACGCCAAGUCCUCAUGGCCCUUACGGGAUGGGCUACACACGGGCUACAAGGGCGGUGACAGUGGGACGCGAAGGAGCGAUCUGGAGCAAAUCCUCAAAAACCGUCUCAGUUCGGAUUGCACUCUGCAACUCGAGUGCAUGAAGGCGGAAUCGCUAGUAAUCGUGGAUCAGAAUGCCACGGUGAAUACGUUCCCGGGCCUU